UCAAUAAGCGGAGGAAAAGAAACUAACAAGGAUUCCCCUAGUAACGGCGAGUGAAGCGGGAAGAGCUCAAAUUUGUAAUCUGGCACUUUCAGUGUCCGAGUUGUAAUCUCGAGAAGUGUUUUCCGCGCCAGACCGCAUACAAGUCUGUUGGAAUACAGCGUCAUAGUGGUGAGAACCCCGUAACUGAUGCGGAUGCCUGGUGCUCUGUGAUACACUUUCGAAGAGUCGAGUUGUUUGGGAAUGCAGCUCAAAUUGGGUGGUAAAUUCCAUCUAAAGCUAAAUAUUGGCGAGAGACCGAUAGCGAACAAGUACCGUGAGGGAAAGAUGAAAAGCACUUUGGAAAGAGAGUUAACAGUACGUGAAAUUGUUGGAAGGGAAACGCUUGAAGUCAGACUUGCUAUUUGGAAUUCAGCCGCAAGGUGUAUUUUUCAAUUCGCAGGCCAGCAUCAGUUUUUGGGGGUGGAAAAGGGUAGAGAGAAGGUAGCAACUCCGGUUGUGUUAUAGCUCUUUGCUGGAUUCAUCCUUGGGGACUGAGGAACGCAGCACGCUUUUUGCAAGGCUUUCGAGCUUUUCGUGCUUAGGAUGCUGGUGGAAUGGCUUUAAACGACCCGUCUUGAAACACGGACCAAGGAGUCUAACAUGCUUGCGAGUGUUUGGGUGUYAAACCCGGAYGCGCAAUGAAAGUGAAUGGAGGUGGGAUSCCGCAAGGUGCACCAUCGACCGAUCUGGAUUUUCUAAGAUGGAUUUGAGUAAGAGCAAUUAUGUUGGGA
Molecule: ribosomal RNA, 770 nt
Filed under: Rhodotorula sp. AK-2009a
Lineage: Eukaryota; Fungi; Basidiomycota; Microbotryomycetes; Sporidiobolales; Sporidiobolaceae
Description: eukaryotic LSU rRNA
Rfam family: Eukaryotic large subunit ribosomal RNA
Source: RNAcentral